This 23-nucleotide small nuclear RNA is filed under the name Arabidopsis thaliana (thale cress). Its description in RNAcentral is "snRNA_02408". Lineage: Eukaryota; Viridiplantae; Streptophyta; Magnoliopsida; Brassicales; Brassicaceae. The record is from RNAcentral.
UUUUGUUAAAAAUGUAUGACUCU